Molecule: long non-coding RNA, 207 nt
Organism: Hyalella azteca
Lineage: Eukaryota; Metazoa; Arthropoda; Malacostraca; Amphipoda; Hyalellidae
Exons: 2
Source: RefSeq, a predicted model, not a curated record
UCGCCGCUGCCGGUGGUGGAGGUGCCGUUCAGGUCGGCUGGUGAGGCGGACGCCUGGUGCCCCUUCCUGGAGACUCUCACCGACGCUGAGAUGGAGAAGAAGAUACGCGACCAGGACCGUAAUACCAGGCGGAUGCGUCGUUUUGCCAACACCACACCAGGCUGGUGAUUGGUGCAGCCCUCCUCCACGUCGCCACAUCUCAUCACC